AUGGCCGUUCCGACCGUCCACUCGGUCUUCGAGCCGAGGCCGUCAGACGUCCUCCUUGCCAGCUUCCCAAAGUGCGGCACCACCUGGCUCAAGGCUCUUGCCUUCACCACGCGCAACCGGACCGAGCACCCACCAUGUGACCUCAACCACCCGCUCUGCCGUGGCAAACCCCACGAUGUCGUCAGGUACCUGGAGAUGGCGUUCGCGCAGUCGACGGACGACAGUGGAGCAGGCGACGCGUUCGCGGCGCUCCCUUCGCCACGCGUGGUCGCCACACACCUUCCCUACUCUCUCCUGCCACGGCGCAUCACCGCGAAGGAGUCCGGCUGCCGGAUCGUGUAUCUGCCGGGACCCAAAGGAUGCAUUUGUUUCCUCGUGGAGUCGUGGUUCUUCGCCAAGAAAGGGGCAGCCGCCGUUGCACGAGCUCGAGCCCGAGCCCGAGCCAACGAGGACACGGACAUGUAG
This 465-nucleotide ribosomal RNA is filed under the name Triticum aestivum (bread wheat). Its description in RNAcentral is "partial small subunit ribosomal RNA". Lineage: Eukaryota; Viridiplantae; Streptophyta; Magnoliopsida; Poales; Poaceae. The record is from RNAcentral.